Molecule: ribosomal RNA, 373 nt
Filed under: uncultured bacterium
Lineage: Bacteria
Description: bacterial SSU rRNA
Rfam family: Bacterial small subunit ribosomal RNA
Source: RNAcentral
ACGGGGGGGGCAAGCGUUGUUCGGAAUUACUGGGCGUAAAGGGUUCGUAGGUGGCCAACUAAGUCAUACGUGAAAUCCCUCAGCUUAACUGGGGAACUGCGUCUGAUACUGGUUGGCUUGAGUGCAGGAGAGGAACGCGGAAUUCCAGGUGUAGCGGUGAAAUGCGUAGAUAUCUGGAGGAACACCGGUGGCGAAGGCGGCGUUCUGGACUGUAACUGACACUGAGGAACGAAAGCCAGGGGAGCAAACGGGAUUAGAUACCCCGGUAGUCCUGGCCCUAAACGAUGAAUGCUUGGUGUGGCGGGUAUCGAUCCCUGCCGUGCCGAAGCUAACGCGAUAAGCAUUCCGCCUGGGGAGUACGGUCGCAAGGCUG